This 214-nucleotide ribosomal RNA is filed under the name uncultured bacterium. RNAcentral's name for it is "partial 16S ribosomal RNA". It matches the Rfam family "Bacterial small subunit ribosomal RNA", at positions 1286 to 1500 of the family's 1533-position model. The record is from RNAcentral.
UCUCAGUUCGGAUUGAAGGCUGAAAUUCGCCUUCAUGAAGCCGGAAUUGCUAGUAAUGGCAGGUCAGCAUACUGCCGUGAAUACGUUCCCGGGCCUUGUACACACCGCCCGUCACACCAUGAGAGUUGGGAAUACCCGAAGCCUGUGAGCUAACUUUUAGAGGCAGCAGUCGAAGGUAGAAUCAAUGAUUGGGGUGAAGUCGUAACAAGGUACC